UACGGGGGGAGCAAGCGUUGUUCGGAUUUACUGGGCGUAAAGGGCGCGUAGGCGGUCAGCAAAAGUCAGUUGUGAAAUCUCCGGGCUUAACUCGGAAAGGUCAACUGAUACUGUGCGACUAGAGUGCAGAAGGGGCAACUGGAAUUCUCGGUGUAGCGGUGAAAUGCGUAGAUAUCGAGAGGAACACCUGCGGCGAAGGCGGUUCUCUGGGCAUUACCUGACGCUGAGGAGCGAAAGUGUGGGGAGCGAACAGG
This 254-nucleotide ribosomal RNA is filed under the name uncultured bacterium. RNAcentral describes it as "partial 16S ribosomal RNA". It matches the Rfam family "Bacterial small subunit ribosomal RNA", at positions 524 to 776 of the family's 1533-position model. The record is from RNAcentral.